AACGCACAUUGCGCCCGCCAGUAUUCUGGCGGGCAUGCCUGUUCGAGCGUCAUUUGUACCUUCAAGCUUUGCUUGGUGUUGGGUGUUUGUCUCGCCUCUGCGUGUAGACUCGCCUUAAAACAAUUGGCAGCCGGCGUAUUGAUUUCGGAGCGCAGUACAUCUCGCGCUUUGCACUCAUAACGACGACGUCCAAAAGUACAUUUUUACACUCUUGACCUCGGAUCAGGUAGGGAUACCCGCUGAACUUAA
RNAcentral lists this unclassified non-coding RNA (249 nucleotides) under uncultured Pleosporales. Its description in RNAcentral is "sequence contains ITS2". The stretch from base 1 to 52 matches the Rfam family "5.8S ribosomal RNA", at positions 103 to 154 of the family's 154-position model. Lineage: Eukaryota; Fungi; Ascomycota; Dothideomycetes; Pleosporales. The record is from RNAcentral.